GAUGAAGAACGCAGCGAAAUGCGAUACGUAAUGUGAAUUGCAGAAUUCAGUGAAUCAUCGAAUCUUUGAACGCAUAUUGCGCUCUCUGGUAUUCCGGAGAGCAUGCUUGUUUGAGUAUCAGUAAACACCUCAACUUCCAUAUCUUUUUUGAAAUGGGAGUUGGACUUGAGUGAUCCCAACGCUUUUCCUCACCAAAAAGUGGCGGGUUACUUGAAAUGCAGGUGCAGCUGGACUUUUCUCUGAGCUAUAAGCAUAUCUAUUUAGUCUGCCUAAAAAACAGAUUAUUACCUUUGCUGCAGCUAACAUAAAGGAGAUUAGUUCUUGUGCUGACUGAUGCAGGAUUCACAAAGACGGCUUCGGCCGACUUUGUAAACUCGAUCUCAAAUCAAGUAAGACUACCCGCUGAACUUAAGCAUAUCAAUAAGCGGAGGA
This 432-nucleotide unclassified non-coding RNA is filed under the name soil metagenome. Its description in RNAcentral is "partial contains 5.8S ribosomal RNA, internal transcribed spacer 2, and large subunit ribosomal RNA". The stretch from base 1 to 120 matches the Rfam family "5.8S ribosomal RNA", at positions 35 to 154 of the family's 154-position model. The record is from RNAcentral.